RNAcentral lists this ribosomal RNA (468 nucleotides) under uncultured bacterium. RNAcentral's name for it is "partial 16S ribosomal RNA". It matches the Rfam family "Bacterial small subunit ribosomal RNA", at positions 29 to 507 of the family's 1533-position model. The record is from RNAcentral.
UACGAACGCUGGCGGCGUGCUUAACACAUGCAAGUCGAACGGAAAGGCCCUGCUUUUGUGGGGUGCUCGAGUGGCGAACGGGUGAGUAACACGUGAGUAACCUGCCCUUGACUUUGGGAUAACUUCAGGAAACUGGGGCUAAUACCGGAUAGGAGCUCCUGCUGCAUGGUGGGGGUUGGAAAGUUUCGGCGGUUGGGGAUGGACUCGCGGCUUAUCAGCUUGUUGGUGGGGUAGUGGCUUACCAAGGCUUUGCCGGGUAGCGGGCCUGAGAGGGUGACCGGCCAAAUUGGGCCUGGGAUACGGCCCAGCCUCCUACGGGAGGCAGCAGUGGGGAAUAUUGAACAAUGGGCGGAAGCCGGAUGCAGCAACGCCGCGUGCGGGAUGACGGCCUUCGGGUUGUAAACCGCUUUCGCCUGUGACGAAGCGUGAGUGACGGUAAUGGGUAAAGAAGCACCGGCUAACUACGUG